UUUCGGCCGCUGGCAGUGAAAAGACUUAAAGUUUUUAAUUUUAUUAUUAUCGGGUUUGUAUUGUUCAAAACCGAUUUUGGAAAAAAUCAUUUGUAACCACGUAUUUUGUGAAUCUUACUGAUAUCUGCUUUUAAUAACAAACCAAAUGUUAGCAAUUCCGUCACGUUUUUGCGCAGUGUCGUGCCGUAAUGUAUAGUUUUAAUUAAUUAAACCACGCAUUUCGUGCAUUCAGCACAUCAGUUACUUGGGCAAGAUGACAGAAAAAGGAACGGCUUGAAACACAACGGCGAAAAUAAAGUUUUAGUUGAUGCGAGUGCGCACUUACCUUCCUCUACCGACUGACGUGGUUGAGUAAUGUGUUGGACGCAGUGAACAUCGCCUGCAAAGAAAAUACUCGUAUGGCUAACAUAUUGUGAAAGGACGAAUGCGUAUUCUGGAAAUAUGCUUGGCAGAUGUGCUCAACGUUUUUAUUCUUUAACAUGCGUUUUAUAUACAUUGGAACAGACUUAAUUUGUUUUUAUUUGCUAAUGAAACAUGAAACAUGAAACACAAAAUGAUUCAUCAUAAACUACAGUUCGUUUUGAAAACAGGGAAUAAUGUAAGAUUAUACAAUAUUUAAAUUAUCACAUAUGAAUUUAAUGAAAAAUAUUAUUUACAAGGA
This is a long non-coding RNA of Dalotia coriaria, 661 nucleotides long. RefSeq lists it as uncharacterized. The transcript has 2 exons. NCBI's taxonomy places the organism in Eukaryota, Metazoa, Arthropoda, Insecta, Coleoptera, Staphylinidae. The record is from RefSeq and is a predicted model, not a curated record.